GAUGAACGCUGGCGGCGUGCCUAAUACAUGCAAGUCGAGCGAACAGACGAGGAGCUUGCUCCUCUGACGUUAGCGGCGGGCGGGUGUGUAACACGUGGAUAACCUACCUAUAAGAUUGGGAUAACUUCGGGAAACCGGAGCUAAUACCGGAUAAUAUAUUGAACCGCAUGGUUCAAUAGUGAAAGACGGUUUUGCUGUCACUUAUAGAUGGAUCCGCGCCGCAUUAGCUAGUUGGUAAGGUAACGGCUUACCAAGGCAACGAUGCGUAGCCGACCUGAGAGGGUGAUCGGCCACACGGGAACUGAGACACGGUCCAGACUCCUACGGGAGGCAGCAGUAGGGAAUCUUCCGCAAUGGGCGAAAGCUUGACGGAGCAACGCCGCGUGAGUGAUGAAGGUCUUCGGAUCGUAAAACUCUGUUAUUAGGGAAGAACAAAUGUGUAAGUAACUAUGCACGUCUUGACGGUACCUAAUCAGAAAGCCCCGGCUAACUACGUG
This 497-nucleotide ribosomal RNA is filed under the name uncultured bacterium. RNAcentral describes it as "partial 16S ribosomal RNA". It matches the Rfam family "Bacterial small subunit ribosomal RNA", at positions 28 to 507 of the family's 1533-position model. The record is from RNAcentral.